CCUUAGUCAUAUUUCCAAGAAAAGCUCCGAUUACUUUAUAAUUUAAAUAACCUGUACCCUAAACCGACACAGGUAGGUAGGUAGAGAAUACUAAGGGGCGCGAGACUCUCUCUCUAAGGAACUCGGCAAAAUAACUCCGUAACUUCGGGAGAAGGAGUGGCUAGAGAUAGCCCGCAGUGACCAGGCCCAGGCGACUGUUUAUCAAAAACACAGGUUUCCGCAAAAUCGUAAGAUAAAGUAUGGGAGCUGACGCCUGCCCAGUGUCGGAAGGUAAAAGAAGUUGGUUAUUCUUCGGAAGAAGCUGACGACUGAAGCCCCGAUGAACGGCGGCUGUAACACUGACAGUCCUAAGGUAGCGAAAUUCAUUGCCAAGUAAGUUUUGGCCCGCACGAAAGGCGUAACGAUCUGGGUACUGUCUCGGAGAGAGACUCGGUGAAAUAGAAAUGUCUGUGAAGAUGCGGACUACCUAUACCAGGACAGAAAGACCCUGUGAAGCUUGACUGUAGCUUGGAAUUGGAUUCGGGCUCUUUUUGUGCAGUCUAGGUGGGAGGCGAUGAUAUACUGUUUUCGGACAGUGUGGAGCCAUCAGUGAGAGACCACUCUGAAAGAGCUAGGAUCCUAAUACGAAUCCUUGAAUCAGGAUCGUUAACAGUUUCAGGCGGACAGUUUGUUUGGGGCGAAUACCUCCCAAAAAGUAACGGAGGUGUGCAAAGGCUUCCUCAGGCUGGACGGAAAUCAGCUGUAGAGUGUAAAAGUAUAAGGGAGCUUGACUGCAAGACCAACAAGUCGAGCAGGAGUGAAAGCUGGCUUUAGUGAUCCGACGGUACCGAGUGGAAGGGCCGUCGCUCAACGAAUAAAAGUUACUCCAGGAUAACAGGCUAAUCACUUCCAAGAGUUCGUAUCGACGAAGUGGUUUGGCACCUCGAUGUCGGCUCAUCGCAACCUGGGGCUGUAGUCGGUCCCAAGGGUUGGACUGUUCGUCCAUUAAAGCGGUACGUGAGCUGGGUUCAGAACGUCGUGAGACAGUUCGGUCCAUAUCCGGUAUAGGCGUAAGAGCAUUGAGAGGAGCUCGACAUUGUACGAGAGGACCCGAAGGGUCGUACCGAUGGUGUACCAGUUCUUGUACCAACAGGAAACGCUGGGUAGCUAUGUACGAAGUGGAUAAUCGCCGAAAGCAUUUAAGUGAGAAGCCCACCUCAAGAUGAAUGCUCUCUAUUAGAUCGCAGCAAGAUAAGCUGAUUAAUUGGCGUUAGGUGUAAGGUCAGUAAUGGCUUCAGCCGAGACGUACAAAGGAUC
RNAcentral lists this ribosomal RNA (1296 nucleotides) under metagenome. Its description in RNAcentral is "bacterial LSU rRNA". It matches the Rfam family "Bacterial large subunit ribosomal RNA", at positions 1594 to 2910 of the family's 2925-position model. The record is from RNAcentral.